Molecule: ribosomal RNA, 265 nt
Filed under: uncultured prokaryote
Description: partial 16S ribosomal RNA
Rfam family: Bacterial small subunit ribosomal RNA
Source: RNAcentral
UACGUAGGUGGCGAGCGUUAUCCGGAAUUAUUGGGCGUAAAGGGCGCGCAGGUGGUUGAUUAAGUCUGAUGUGAAAGCCCACGGCUUAACCGUGGAGGGUCAUUGGAAACUGGUCGACUUGAGUGCAGAAGAGGGAAGUGGAAUUCCAUGUGUAGCGGUGAAAUGCGUAGAGAUAUGGAGGAACACCAGUGGCGAAGGCGGCUUCCUGGUCUGUAACUGACACUGAGGCGCAAAAGCGUGGGUAGCAAACAGGAUUAGAUACCCU